GAUGAAGAACGUAGCGAAAUGCGAUACGUAAUGUGAAUUGCAGAAUUCAGUGAAUCAUCGAAUCUUUGAACGCAUAUUGCGCUCUUUGGUAUUCCGAAGAGCAUGCUUGUUUGAGUAUCAGUAAACACCUCAAAGCUUUUGGAUUUUUUAAUCGAAAAGCUUUGGACUUGAGCAAUCCCAACACCAAUCUUUUUGAGAUCGGUGGCGGGUUGCUUGAAAUGCAGGUGCAGCUGGACAUUCUCCUGAGCUAAAAGCAUAUUCAUUUAGUCACGUCAAACGGAUUAUUACUUUUGCUGCAGCUAACAUAAAGGGAGUUUGACCGUAUUGGCUGACUGAUGCAGGAUUUCACAAGGGUCGGCAACGAUUCUUGUUAAACUCGAUCUCAAAUCAAGUAAGACUACCCGCUGAACUUAAGCAUAUCAAUAAGCGGAGGA
RNAcentral lists this unclassified non-coding RNA (434 nucleotides) under soil metagenome. Its description in RNAcentral is "partial contains 5.8S ribosomal RNA, internal transcribed spacer 2, and large subunit ribosomal RNA". The stretch from base 1 to 120 matches the Rfam family "5.8S ribosomal RNA", at positions 35 to 154 of the family's 154-position model. The record is from RNAcentral.